UUUAAGUCAUCCGGUAAAUGUUGUUUGUCUUUAUUGAUACGGAGACGUACAAUAAUGUCAUGAACUAGGGGGAAUUCCUUGAUUAUGCUAAUACCGCCAAGAGAUAGGGGUAGGACGAUCAGUUGUAUUUUGCUUCCGUUUAUCAUGCAUUAUUGGUUACUAGGGGAGGCUAGAGAUAGCAAGCCAAUAAUUGGUAAUAGACUCUUUUCGCCAAGAGUUUGGGUUUAGGGUAGACUAAGAAAGUUUGCAUGACAAUAUGAUAAAUAAGCUAAGUAGAUAAGAAGAGUAGAUAUAAGAUGACAUUGUAAACCCCAACAACUCCAUUCAUCCAUAGUCUUUUGUAGC
This 345-nucleotide long non-coding RNA is filed under the name Vigna radiata. RNAcentral describes it as "long non-coding RNA (VRAD_LNC008762)". The record is from RNAcentral. Lineage: Eukaryota; Viridiplantae; Streptophyta; Magnoliopsida; Fabales; Fabaceae.